This 236-nucleotide ribosomal RNA is filed under the name uncultured bacterium. Its description in RNAcentral is "partial 16S ribosomal RNA". It matches the Rfam family "Bacterial small subunit ribosomal RNA", at positions 112 to 334 of the family's 1533-position model. The record is from RNAcentral.
AACGCGUAGGUAAUCUACCCUUAUAUUUGGGAUAACAUUGGGAAACUGGUGCUAAUACCGAAUGGUCUUCUUUGCUGCGGGGCGAAGGAGUAAAGGUGGCCUCUUCAUGAAAGCUACCGUGUAGGGAUGAGCCUGCGUACCAUUAGCUAGUAGGUGGGGUAAUGGCCCACCUAGGCUACGAUGGUUAGUGGGUCUGAGAGGAUGAUCCGCCACACUGGAACUGGAACACGGACCAG